Molecule: long non-coding RNA, 250 nt
Filed under: Anser brachyrhynchus (Pink-footed goose)
Lineage: Eukaryota; Metazoa; Chordata; Aves; Anseriformes; Anatidae
Description: lncRNA (ENSABRG00000012249.1)
Source: RNAcentral
GCCAUUCAGCUUUGGGGCAGUACUUCCGUUGCCUCUACUGUUUCCUUCAAUUAAAUGUUUUUCAAAGAGCCCUACCUCACCUUUUCCAACGUCUCAGCUAUUCUUGGAGUUACUCCAGGCUGUUAACAUCUUGUCCUGUGCUUUUUGCUGACUAGGGGAAUGCACUGCAUGUAACCAACAGUAGUCAUCUGCUAAAGGUUGCAUCAGUGAUAGAUACAUUACAUCAUUCCUUAGGCUGUUCAUUUCCUGC